Molecule: long non-coding RNA, 415 nt
Organism: Gossypium arboreum
Lineage: Eukaryota; Viridiplantae; Streptophyta; Magnoliopsida; Malvales; Malvaceae
Exons: 2
Source: RefSeq, a predicted model, not a curated record
UGUGAAUUAGCUCAAGAGCAAAGGGAGCUAAAUCCGAUAAAGGGAAGGAAAAAGUAGUUGAAUAGCCGUCGAAAUCGCUCGACAACAUUCAAGGUUUCGCUCGUUAGCUAUCGGAUUCGGGAUCAAAGAAGUCGAAGUCAUCCACACUAUCGAAGCCCCAUUUUGGUACAAAUUUUGGUUGAACUUUGAAAUGGCAUGUAUAGGACCAUCCUUUGUUGAAGGUCAUGUACCUUCCGGUUUGUGUAAACUUAGAUAGCCAUGCGAAAAUGGCUUAUAUACGUUUUUAGCAUAGAACUAUAAUCGUUUGUAUGUUGACCCUUAUGAGGUAUGGAAUUAUUUUGAAACGAUUAGCCAUUGGAAUGGUUAAUCAUGAUCACACUUUGUGCUAUGUAUGUAAAAAGGGCCGAUUGAAUCA